This 591-nucleotide ribosomal RNA is filed under the name Tremella sp. RNAcentral describes it as "partial large subunit ribosomal RNA". It matches the Rfam family "Eukaryotic large subunit ribosomal RNA", at positions 69 to 647 of the family's 3401-position model. The record is from RNAcentral. Lineage: Eukaryota; Fungi; Basidiomycota; Tremellomycetes; Tremellales; Tremellaceae.
CAAGGAUUCCCCUAGUAACGGCGAGCGAACCGGGAAGAGCUCAAAUUUGAAAUCUGGCGUCCUUCGGGCGUCCGAGUUGUAAUCUACAGAGGCGUUUUCCGCGCCGGUCCGCGUCCAAGUCCCUUGGAACAGGGUAUCAAAGAGGGUGACAAUCCCGUGCUUGACGUGACCGCCGGUGCUAUGCGAUACGUUCUCAAAGAGUCGAGUUGUUUGGGAAUGCAGCUCAAAACGGGUGGUAAAUUCCAUCUAAGGCUAAAUAUUGGCGAGAGACCGAUAGCGAACAAGUACCGUGAGGGAAAGAUGAAAAGCACUUUGGAAAGAGAGUUAAACAGUACGUGAAAUUGUUGAAAGGGAAACGAUUGAAGUCAGUCGUGUCCUUGGGGUUCAGCCGGUUCACGCCGGUGUAUUCCUCUUGGACGGGUCAACAUCGGUUCUGGCCGGCGGAAAAGGGCGCGGGGAAUGUGGCACCUCCGGGUGUGUUAUAGCCCCGUGUCGCAUACGUCGGACGGGACCGAGGAACGCAGCUCGCCCUCACGGGCCGGGAUUUAUCCACGUACGAGCUUAGGAUGUUGACAAAAUGGCUUUAAACGA